RNAcentral lists this ribosomal RNA (483 nucleotides) under uncultured bacterium. RNAcentral's name for it is "partial 16S ribosomal RNA". It matches the Rfam family "Bacterial small subunit ribosomal RNA", at positions 30 to 507 of the family's 1533-position model. The record is from RNAcentral.
AUUGAACGCUGGCGGCAGGCCUAACACAUGCAAGUCGAGCGGAUGAAGGGAGCUUGCUCCUGGAUUCAGCGGCGGACGGGUGAGUAAUGCCUAGGAAUCUGCCUGGUAGUGGGGGAUAACGUCCGGAAACGGGCGCUAAUACCGCAUACGUCCUGAGGGAGAAAGUGGGGGAUCUUCGGACCUCACGCUAUCAGAUGAGCCUAGGUCGGAUUAGCUAGUUGGUGGGGUAAAGGCCUACCAAGGCGACGAUCCGUAACUGGUCUGAGAGGAUGAUCAGUCACACUGGAACUGAGACACGGUCCAGACUCCUACGGGAGGCAGCAGUGGGGAAUAUUGGACAAGGGGCGAAGGCUGAUCCAGCCAUGCCGCGUGUGUGAAGAAGGUCUUCGGAUUGUAAAGCACUUUAAGUUGGGAGGAAGGGCAGUAAGUUAAUACCUUGCUGUUUUGACGUUACCAACAGAAUAAGCACCGGCUAACUUCGUG